Molecule: ribosomal RNA, 156 nt
Filed under: Triticum aestivum (bread wheat)
Lineage: Eukaryota; Viridiplantae; Streptophyta; Magnoliopsida; Poales; Poaceae
Description: rRNA 5_8S_rRNA
Rfam family: 5.8S ribosomal RNA
About the family: 5.8S ribosomal RNA (5.8S rRNA) is a component of the large subunit of the eukaryotic ribosome. It is transcribed by RNA polymerase I as part of the 45S precursor that also contains 18S and 28S rRNA.
Source: RNAcentral
GACUCUCGGCAACGGAUAUCUCGGCUCUCGCAUCGAUGAAGAACGUAGCGAAAUGCGAUACCUGGUGUGAAUUGCAGAAUCCCGCGAACCAUCGAGUCUUUGAACGCAAGUUGCGCCCGAGGCCACUUGGCCGAGGGCACGCCUGCCUGGGCGUCA